RNAcentral lists this ribosomal RNA (730 nucleotides) under Bacillus sp. (in: firmicutes). RNAcentral describes it as "bacterial SSU rRNA". It matches the Rfam family "Bacterial small subunit ribosomal RNA", at positions 59 to 770 of the family's 1533-position model. The record is from RNAcentral. Lineage: Bacteria; Bacillati; Bacillota; Bacilli; Caryophanales; Bacillaceae.
CAGUCGAGCGGACAGAUGGGAGCUUGCUCCCUGAUGUUAGCGGCGGACGGGUGAGUAACACGUGGGUAACCUGCCUGUAAGACUGGGAUAACUCCGGGAAACCGGGGCUAAUACCGGAUGCUUGUUUGAACCGCAUGGUUCAAACAUAAAAGGUGGCUUCGGCUACCACUUACAGAUGGACCCGCGGCGCAUUAGCUAGUUGGUGAGGUAAUGGCUCACCAAGGCAACGAUGCGUAGCCGACCUGAGAGGGUGAUCGGCCACACUGGGACUGAGACACGGCCCAGACUCCUACGGGAGGCAGCAGUAGGGAAUCUUCCGCAAUGGACGAAAGUCUGACGGAGCAACGCCGCGUGAGUGAUGAAGGUUUUCGGAUCGUAAAGCUCUGUUGUUAGGGAAGAACAAGUACCGUUCGAAUAGGGCGGUACCUUGACGGUACCUAACCAGAAAGCCACGGCUAACUACGUGCCAGCAGCCGCGGUAAUACGUAGGUGGCAAGCGUUGUCCGGAAUUAUUGGGCGUAAAGGGCUCGCAGGCGGUUUCUUAAGUCUGAUGUGAAAGCCCCCGGCUCAACCGGGGAGGGUCAUUGGAAACUGGGGAACUUGAGUGCAGAAGAGGAGAGUGGAAUUCCACGUGUAGCGGUGAAAUGCGUAGAGAUGUGGAGGAACACCAGGUGGCGAAAGCGACUCUCUGGUCUGUAACUGACGCUGAGGAGCGAAAGCGUGGGGAGCG